GCAGUGGGGGUUCAAUGAUAGAAUUCUUGCCUUCCACGCAGGAUACAGGGCUCGAUUCCUGCCCAGUGCA
RNAcentral lists this transfer RNA (70 nucleotides) under Loxodonta africana (African savanna elephant). It matches the Rfam family "tRNA". From Rfam's summary of the family: Transfer RNA (tRNA) molecules are approximately 80 nucleotides in length. Their secondary structure includes four short double-helical elements and three loops (D, anti-codon, and T loops). The record is from Rfam by way of RNAcentral. Lineage: Eukaryota; Metazoa; Chordata; Mammalia; Proboscidea; Elephantidae.